Pteropus alecto (black flying fox) is the source of this 607-nucleotide long non-coding RNA. RefSeq lists it as uncharacterized. NCBI's taxonomy places the organism in Eukaryota, Metazoa, Chordata, Mammalia, Chiroptera, Pteropodidae. The record is from RefSeq and is a predicted model, not a curated record. The transcript has 3 exons.
CAACACUGACUUCUUUCUGCUGCCCUGGGCCAAGUGGCUGGGGACUCUGGGAGAAUGGGGGAGAGUGAGGCGGCUCACAGUUCUGCUGGGCGCCCUUGGCAAAGGCUCCUAAGGGAUGAAUCAUCCCCUGGUGACUAAGCACAGGAGCCUGCGGGUUCUUUCUUGGGGCAGCUGAAAGGGCCAUGCAGUGUGGGUUCCAAUGGCUGUCACCACAAGGGCCCCUCUAAGAGGGGAAGCCAAAGACAAUGCUUGCUUUGUGCCUCUCUGCAAAGAAGUGAGGAGGAAAAGCCUGUGAGUUGGCGGUGAGGCCACCCCACGAAGGGGGCUGCCCCUGCUCCUGAGGAAAGGGGCCUGGCUUUGGGACCCGGCCCUGCUGUGUGAUAUGGAGCAAACUCUGACACCUCUCUUCAUCCCUGCCCUGUCGGUCUUGGGUGCAUCAGAGGAGCUGAUGGACAGGAAAGGUCUUGGGACACAGGAGACUUUGAUGGAGGUGAGACUGCUCUGAACAGGAAGAAUGAACAGGAAAAAGGCUGGUCCACUGGUCAGGAGACAAGGUGGGGCAGAGGGAACCCCCUGAGCCAGGCUUGAAGGUCCCCUUGCCUCCCAU